Molecule: long non-coding RNA, 213 nt
Filed under: Elaeis guineensis (African oil palm)
Lineage: Eukaryota; Viridiplantae; Streptophyta; Magnoliopsida; Arecales; Arecaceae
Description: long non-coding RNA (EGUI_LNC046839)
Source: RNAcentral
CGAGGCUAGUCGAGUUCUAGGGGCUAGAACUCUUGAAGCAAGGUGAAGAAGGAGCGCUGUCUUUGGUUCAAUUUUUGUGUGAAUCAUCAUUGGAGGGCGAACACUUGGAUGCCUUAUGAAAAUUGGGAUUAGCACUAUAGGUAUUCUUUUUAUUCUAAUUUAUAUUUAUUAUAUUUUGAUUAUUAUAGUCAAGAGUUUCUGGGCAUUAGGGCU